Molecule: ribosomal RNA, 144 nt
Filed under: uncultured bacterium
Lineage: Bacteria
Description: partial 16S ribosomal RNA
Rfam family: Bacterial small subunit ribosomal RNA
Source: RNAcentral
CGCAAGCCUGAACGAGCAAUGCCGCGUGAACGAGGAAGGUCUUCGGAUCGUAAAGUUCUGUUGAAGGGGUAAAAAGAGCGGAAGAGAGGAAAUGCUUUCUGUAUUGAUAUUACCCUUCGAGGAAGUCACGGCUAACUACGUGCC